RNAcentral lists this ribosomal RNA (429 nucleotides) under uncultured bacterium. RNAcentral describes it as "bacterial SSU rRNA". It matches the Rfam family "Bacterial small subunit ribosomal RNA", at positions 355 to 776 of the family's 1533-position model. The record is from RNAcentral.
UGGGGAAUUUUGGACAAUGGGCGCAAGCCUGAUCCAGCCAUGCCGCGUGGGUGAAGAAGGCCUUCGGGUUGUAAAGCCCUUUCGGCUGGGACGAAAAGGUCCGUGUUAACACCACGGAUCCAUGACGGUACCAGCAGAAGAAGCACCGGCUAACUACGUGCCAGCAGCCGCGGUAAUACGUAGGGUGCAGGCGUUAAUCGGAAUUACUGGGCGUAAAGCGUGCGCAGGCGGUCUUUUAAGUCAGAUGUGAAAUCCCCGGGCUUAACCUGGGAACUGCGUUUGAAACUGGAAGGCUUGAGUGUGGCAGAGGGGGGUGGAAUUCCACGUGUAGCAGUGAAAUGCGUAGAGAUGUGGAGGAACACCGAUGGCGAAGGCAGCCCCCUGGGCUAACACUGACGCUCAUGCACGAAAGCGUGGGGAGCAAACAGG